CUAAAGAACAAGAAGGGUAGAUGUUUGCAGCCUUCUGAGGCAGCAUGGUGUUACUCUGUAUUUGUUAGCUUGUUGAACUGAGCCUUUCCGACGAAUGGGUACAGGAGAUGAGCAGCACUCUAGAUUCCUCCAGGCCUGAAGAUCUUCUGAGGCACCUACACAGUCUGAGAACUGCAGCCUGUUCCCACAAGGCAGAGGAAACCGCAGCAUUUGUACUUCUGGAACCUCCAGCUGCCUCAGUCAGCCCAGGGUAACCAUGUCUGGAAGGGUAGGUCAGGAGGAUUGCUUUAUGAUGCAGCAGUACAGGGGAAAUGGAGACACUGACAGAAGAUAAGGACCUCAGAAGAUGCUUGGCAAUUAACACUGUCUGAUUUCUGAUAUGGUGGAACAGCCAAGACCAGAGCUGUGUAAUAGACUUUUUCCACAGAGCAAAGUGUUCAAGUUUUGAAGCCAUUGAAGAUCCCUAGGCUGGUUCAGGGCUUGGUGAUGCCAUUUUAGCCACAUCUCUUAUGGGUGUAUCUGAAUGCUCUGCAAAGUAAAGCAAUAGAGGAAAACUGGCCUGUUUCACAGGCUCUUGUUUUCUCUGACAGAAGACAAAAAAAGGAAAGUUGAGAGGAAAGGCAUCUGUGUGCCAUACAUUUAAAUGACUCAGGCAAGGCUGAAACUCUGACAUGGCAGGACAUUUCUAGAAGGCAGUGGGUAGUGGGGCAGAAGCUCUGCUUUGAUCUUGUUGGACUGACUGUGAUUCUGGAAUGGAGCUGAGAAUCAGCAGGGAAGGAUAAGGACUUAUUUUUGAUGAUGGAAAAGCACUGUCUAAAGGAAAUGAGAUGACAGAAAGGAGCUGUAGAUUCUUCUUGUUGAGUUUAAAUGUUUGAGCCUGAUUGCUUGUCAGGACAUUGCAAUCCAAAGAGUAAAAAAACAAAACAACAACAAAAAAAAAAAACAAACAUAAUUUCUCUCUUGUGGUAUGAUUACCUUCAAUUUUGUGAUAAGAUUACUUUGCUUUGAAUAAGUUAAGGUACUAAUUGCGCUCCUGUGCCUCUCCUUCCUUGUACCCUGAUUGUAUGAAAUGGAGUGGGAGAUAAUGCAGAGAUUAUCAGGCAUUAUUGCGGCUGCAAUGUGAAGGGGAAAAUGGCUGCAAAUGGCUGAAGGGUUAAGUGUUAAAUCUAGGAUUUCUGUGUGGUUUGGAUACUUGUUUGAACUCUUCACCCUACGUUUCCUCACCCCCUCUUGUUCUCUGUCUUCAUUCUCGUGAUCUGGCCAUCUUUUCCUUAUUCCAGACAACCAGAGGUGUGACCAUGGUGUGCUGGCUUUCUUACAGGCAAACACUUCUCCUUAACUUUGGCUUCUAAAUUUUUCUUUCAAUAAAGCUAGAAGGACGUUGGAGCUUAGUGAUGCCAUUUUAGCCACAUCCCUUAUGUGUGUGUAUCUGAAUGCUCUGCAAAUUAAAGCACGGUUGGAGCUUAAGUUGUGCUGCUGCAUUUUAAAUAUAUAUUGCUGUCAAAGAUCCUUAAAUCAUGUUGGAUGUAGUUUCUUUUUUGAAUUUUUGUACAUAUUUAGGUUUUUUGUUUUAAUGACAAAAAUUACAUGAAAAACUGUUCAUUAAAUAGCCAUUUUUAAUUCUCUAUACUA
This is a long non-coding RNA of Passer domesticus (house sparrow), 1632 nucleotides long. RefSeq lists it as uncharacterized. Lineage: Eukaryota; Metazoa; Chordata; Aves; Passeriformes; Passeridae. The record is from RefSeq and is a predicted model, not a curated record. The transcript has 2 exons.